This 496-nucleotide ribosomal RNA is filed under the name uncultured bacterium. Its description in RNAcentral is "bacterial SSU rRNA". It matches the Rfam family "Bacterial small subunit ribosomal RNA", at positions 30 to 518 of the family's 1533-position model. The record is from RNAcentral.
AUUGAACGCUGGCGGAAUGCUUUACACAUGCAAGUCGAACGGCAGCACGGGGCAACCUGGUGGCGAGUGGCGAACGGGUGAGUAAUACAUCGGAACGUGCCCAAUCGUGGGGGAUAACGUAGCGAAAGUUACGCUAAUACCGCAUACGAUCUACGGAUGAAAGCGGGGGAUCGCAAGACCUCGCGCGAAUGGAGCGGCCGAUGUCAGAUUAGGUAGUUGGUGGGGUAAAGGCUCACCAAGCCAACGAUCUGUAGCUGGUCUGAGAGGACGACCAGCCACACUGGAACUGAGACACGGUCCAGACUCCUACGGGAGGCAGCAGUGGGGAAUUUUGGACAAUGGGCGCAAGCCUGAUCCAGCCAUUCCGCGUGCAGGAUGAAGGCCUUCGGGUUGUAACUAGCUUUGUACGGUAACGAAACGGACGAGCUCUAAUACAGUUUGCUAAUGACGGUACCGUAAGAAUAAGACACCGGCUAACUACGUGCCAGCAGCCGAC